CCCCCUUCUGCCCCGCUGUGGAAACCCCCUGGCCUCCAUUCUGCACAUGGAAGAGUCCUGUAGAUUUGUUCCAAUUGGCUGCGAGCUCUCAUCUGGCCACAGCUCUCCACUGCAGGAGAGAUAACCUGCACUACAAGUACAGUAUUUGUUUUCCUGUGGAUAAGCUUGCUCUGGUGUACUGAUGAGACUUUUUGUAAUGGAACUGAUGUUUGUCCCACUGUUGUUGCUGACCUUACAAGUCCAAAGAAUGCUGCUAGUAUAGUUUCUUUUAGAAACCCAUCAAUCCCCAUGGUCUCAUUAUUUAUGACUACUGUCUGUAGAUGCUUUCUAAAGAAAAUGGAGGUUAUUUGAGUUAAGUAAUGCAUCUUUUACACUGCACACACUCAUGUUUGUGGUUUGUCGUCAAUGUAGAUGUACGCCUAUUAGAAACAAUGUUUAUGACGAGAAUAAAAAGCUAAAUGUUGGAAAAAUAAAUGUUUUAUAAAGUCAAUGCAGACUCUGGCUGUGAUCAGUGUUAUAGCUAUAGUAUACUUAUAGAUUAGGGCGGCUCGAAGCAAUGUUAUUUUCAUUUUAUUUUUAACACAUCAGAUUCUUCCUGUGUAGAUUGAUUAAUGUUGUUGAUGUACAGUGUUUAUAAUAAAUUUAUAUAUGUUACUGUCAUA
Micropterus salmoides (largemouth bass) is the source of this 662-nucleotide long non-coding RNA. RefSeq lists it as uncharacterized. Lineage: Eukaryota; Metazoa; Chordata; Actinopteri; Centrarchiformes; Centrarchidae. The record is from RefSeq and is a predicted model, not a curated record. The transcript is spliced from 2 exons.